This 253-nucleotide ribosomal RNA is filed under the name uncultured bacterium. RNAcentral's name for it is "partial 16S ribosomal RNA". It matches the Rfam family "Bacterial small subunit ribosomal RNA", at positions 524 to 776 of the family's 1533-position model. The record is from RNAcentral.
UACAGAGGUCCCAAGCGUUGUUCGGAUUCACUGGGCGUAAAGGGUGCGUAGGUGGCGGGGUAAGUUUGAUGUGAAAUCUCCGGGCUUAAUCCGGAAACUGCAUUGAAUACUAUUCUGCUCGAGGUUUGGAGGGGGGACUGGAAUUCUCGGUGUAGCAGUGAAAUGCGUAGAUAUCGAGAGGAACACCAGUGGCGAAGGCGAGUCCCUGGACAACACCUGACACUGAGGCACGAAAGCUAGGGGAGCAAACAGG